RNAcentral lists this ribosomal RNA (333 nucleotides) under uncultured Pseudomonadota bacterium. RNAcentral's name for it is "bacterial SSU rRNA". It matches the Rfam family "Bacterial small subunit ribosomal RNA", at positions 29 to 351 of the family's 1533-position model. The record is from RNAcentral. Lineage: Bacteria; Pseudomonadati; Pseudomonadota.
AACGAACGCUGGCGGCGUGCUUAAUACAUGCAAGUCGUGCGAGAACGGGUCCUUCGGGGCCCUAGUAAAGCGGCGAACGGGUGCGUAACACGUGGGCAACCUGCCUAUUGGUUCGGGAUAAGCUCUCGAAAGGGGGUCUAAUACCGAAUGACAUCCAGGGAUGGCAUCUUUCCUGGCUCAAAGGCGCUGCAAGGCGCUGCCGAUAGAUGGGCCCGCGGCCCAUUAGCUAGUUGGUGGGGUAAUGGCCCACCAAGGCUUCGAUGGGUAGCCGACCUGAGAGGGUGACCGGCCACACUGGGACUGAGAUACGGCCCAGACUCCUACGGGAGGCAG